GACGUAGGGUGCGAGCGUUAUCCGGAUUUACUGGGCGUAAGGCGUUUCGUAGGCGGUCUUAAAAGUCGCGCCUUAAAUCCUAGGGCUCAACCUUAGGGCUGGGUGCGAUACUUUAAGACUAGAGGAUUUUGGGGGGUGCUGGAAUUCGCGGUGUAGCAGUGAAAUGCGUUGAUAUCGCGAGGAACACCAAGGGCGAAGGCAAACACCUAAGGAAUUCCUGACGCUGAGGAACGAAAGCUAGGGGAGCGAACGGG
RNAcentral lists this ribosomal RNA (254 nucleotides) under uncultured bacterium. RNAcentral's name for it is "partial 16S ribosomal RNA". It matches the Rfam family "Bacterial small subunit ribosomal RNA", at positions 524 to 776 of the family's 1533-position model. The record is from RNAcentral.